Molecule: transfer RNA, 288 nt
Filed under: Anabaena sp. BTA1022
Lineage: Bacteria; Bacillati; Cyanobacteriota; Cyanophyceae; Nostocales; Nostocaceae
Description: partial 16S-23S ribosomal RNA intergenic spacer
Rfam family: tRNA (bases 110-182)
Source: RNAcentral
CUGGUUCGAGUCCAGGAUGGCCCACCUGAAGAGAGUUAAGAGUUUGAAGUUAAGAGUUAAGAGUCAAAAAACUGAUAACUCAUCACUAAAAACUCAUAACUUUUUGUCUGGGGGUUUAGCUCAGUUGGUAGAGCGCCUGCUUUGCAAGCAGGAUGUCAGCGGUUCGAGUCCGCUAACCUCCACCUAGAGAUAACUCAGCAAAUGCAAAUAAGGUGAGAAGAAGUCCAGCAACAUGGUGUGAAGCCAGACUGCUGGGUGAGAACUCAGCCAGAACCUUGAAAACUGCAA